GUGAAGAACCUUGGAAAACCAAAAUGGGGAUAAACAGUGUUGAAUUUUGAUGAACAAUAUCAUGGGUCGGAAAGUUAUGCAAACCUAAGAUAGUGGGGGCAGGCAGUGGGUCGGUGCUAAUUUGUGAUAUUCUCAGAGAGAGAGAGAGAGAGAGAAUGUAUGUCGAAUUGUCAGGCACUAGACUUGUGGAUGGAUUGGAGACGAUGCACCGCCACGGCGGGCCUGGCGUGUCCAAUGUAUUAUAUAUGAAUGGCUCUCUGGGCCCUGGAGUUUUAAAGAAGAAAAUUGAUGGGCGGCUCAUGGCUGCCAAAUUUGCGGCAUGUGGAGCACACUUGACACUUAUUAUGUACUGCAUAUUGGUCUUUGUAUGGUGCCUCCUUCGACCGCGUUGAGUGUUCUCGAAGGAAUUUUGGUUGGAAGGACCUACCACCACUGACGUUCAUAAUAAGUUGCACAAAUAAUCACG
This 466-nucleotide long non-coding RNA is filed under the name Prunus dulcis (almond). RNAcentral describes it as "sRNA ncRNA". Lineage: Eukaryota; Viridiplantae; Streptophyta; Magnoliopsida; Rosales; Rosaceae. The record is from RNAcentral.